Molecule: long non-coding RNA, 412 nt
Organism: Schistocerca nitens (vagrant locust)
Lineage: Eukaryota; Metazoa; Arthropoda; Insecta; Orthoptera; Acrididae
Exons: 2
Source: RefSeq, a predicted model, not a curated record
GAUAAUUGUCAAGAUUUGUCCUGUUAUAAUGUAAGGUUCUUCAACAGGUCGUUUUCCAAUUCAUGUUAAUAAGCAUACAACAACUACUAUGAUUCAGAAUAAAAUCUGAUUUAUAGGAUUGAAUUGAAUACCUCGGAAUGGUGUUAUUGCAUUAUUCUUAUCAAUUAGAAUCUUAAUAAUUUUACCAUUUUAUAAUAAAACACCAUUCCGAGGUAUUCAAUUCUAUCCUAUAAAUCAGAUUUUAUUCUGAAUCAUAGUAGUUGUUGUAUGCUUAUUAACAUGAAUUGGAAAACGACCUGUUGAAGAACCUUACAUUAUAACAGGACAAAUCUUAACAAUUAUCUACUUUACAUACUUCUUAAUUAAUGUACAUGUUGCAAACGCAUGAGAUAAGCUAAUUAAGGAAUAAUAA